Molecule: long non-coding RNA, 294 nt
Filed under: Elaeis guineensis (African oil palm)
Lineage: Eukaryota; Viridiplantae; Streptophyta; Magnoliopsida; Arecales; Arecaceae
Description: long non-coding RNA (EGUI_LNC054030)
Source: RNAcentral
GGGGUGUCUGACUUAUGUCAGAUGUUUAAAAAUAAAACUAGGAUCUAGGUCUGACAAGUGUGUCUUCAUAGUGUAUCUUAAAAAAAUCAAGCGGUAUUACUUCUACCUUACUGAUGAACAAAAAGUGUUCAUGAUAAAUAAAUUAUAUUUUUAAAAAAAAUUCUUUAGUGAAGGAAUUAGCACUUCUAAAAUCGAGCUUGAUGAAGUUUGACGGAUAGAAGAACUGACGCAAUCUAGUGAACCCACAGGACCCGAUUUGAUUGAGUCAAAUUUAGAACCUAUUAAUAAUAUACC